UACGGAGGAUCCGAGCGUUAUCCGGAUUCAUUGGGUUUAAAGGGUGCGUAGGUUGUUUUAUAAGUUAGCGGUGAAAUACCGGGGCUCAACCCCGGGGCUGCCGUUGAAACCGGAGCGCUAGAAUUCCGAUGCCGUCGGAGGAAUGUGUGGUGUAGCGGUGAAAUGCAUAGAUAUCACACAGAACACCGAUUGCGAAGGCAUCUGACGAAUCGGAGAUUGACGCUGAUGCACGAAAGCGUGGGUAUCGAACAGG
RNAcentral lists this ribosomal RNA (253 nucleotides) under uncultured bacterium. RNAcentral describes it as "partial 16S ribosomal RNA". It matches the Rfam family "Bacterial small subunit ribosomal RNA", at positions 524 to 776 of the family's 1533-position model. The record is from RNAcentral.